GACGAACGCUGGCGGCGUGCCUAACACAUGCAAGUCAACUUGACUGAAGGAGCAAUCUGACAGUAGAGUGGCGCAAGGGUGCGUAACGCGUAAGUAACUUGCCCAAGGUAAGGAAUAACGUCGAGAAAUCGGCGCUAAUACCUCAUAAUGCAGCGGAUCCGCAUGGAUAUGUUGUUAAAGGUUUACCGCCUUGGAUAGGCUUGCGUCUGAUUAGUUAGUUGGUGUGGUAACGGCACACCAAGGCUACGAUCAGUAACUGGUCUGAGAGGAUGAUCAGUCACACUGGAACUGAGACACGGUCCAGACUCCUACGGGAGGCAGCAGUGAGGAAUAUUGGGCAAUGCUCGAAAG
RNAcentral lists this ribosomal RNA (351 nucleotides) under uncultured bacterium. Its description in RNAcentral is "bacterial SSU rRNA". It matches the Rfam family "Bacterial small subunit ribosomal RNA", at positions 28 to 381 of the family's 1533-position model. The record is from RNAcentral.